CUAUGAUACUGCAAGAUAUAGGAAUGUGCAAAACAACGCAAGGGAAGAAUAGAAAAUCUAACAGAAUUAAAAGAUAGAGGAACAGGAACGAAAUGAAAAACUGGAUCAAAGGAAACUGAAGCACAUUCCUCCAUCCAUAUACAGAUCAGCCCAACAGAACUUUGCAGAGGUAAUAAAAUACUUUGGCAAUUACUAUUGACAGUUCUGGAUAAUCUUGAAGGCUGCCUUGCCUGAAGAAGAUGAGUGUUACAAAUCACUUCAGUGAAAGAGGGAAGAACAGCAGCAGGCAGCAGACAGGUUUCAAUUUCACAAUGCUGAUUAUCUCAUUCGCGAUUCCAUGCAUGCCUAAAUCUGAGAAUCCCUCAAGCAGCUAUAUGGACUUCUACUUUUAAAAUGCCUAUUACGCUUUCAUACUUUCUCCUGCUUCCUGAAGAGUGCCAUUUCGCCAAGCUUAAAUAGCAGAAAAUUGCAAUGCUUUUUCCUCUGCCCAUCUCCUCAAUCUCUAUUAACCUGCACAAGAACAAAGGAGUAUGAUGGUCUGGCUAUAGGCUGAGAAAUAGGUUUGAAGUUGUUUUUCAUUUACUGGUUCUCAUCUUUUUGAUUCAUCAAUGCAUCUCCAACAAUAUCCUUCUUUUUAUACCUAAGCAAAUUACUGAAAAUACAAUCCUUCCCCCCCCCAAAUAUGUAAACGCAUUUGUCUUUAUGCAUCUGUAGGAGGCUGACGCCUGUGCAGCACACACACAUGCACACACGCACACAUAGACGUUAUUAUUUACAUCAACACCAAAUGAUACCGUGUGGCUUUUAG
Non-coding RNA from Phascolarctos cinereus (koala), 808 nucleotides. The record is from RefSeq and is a predicted model, not a curated record. NCBI's taxonomy places the organism in Eukaryota, Metazoa, Chordata, Mammalia, Diprotodontia, Phascolarctidae.